This 279-nucleotide ribosomal RNA is filed under the name uncultured bacterium. Its description in RNAcentral is "partial 16S ribosomal RNA". It matches the Rfam family "Bacterial small subunit ribosomal RNA", at positions 506 to 784 of the family's 1533-position model. The record is from RNAcentral.
UGCCAGCCGCCGCGGUAAUACGGAGGGGGCGAACGUUGCUCGGAUUUACUGGGCGUAAAGCGACCGCAGGCGGUUAGUUUAGUCAGAUGUGAAAUCCCGGUGCUCAACGCCGGAACUGCAUUUGAAACUGGCUAACUAGAGUCAUCAAGAGGAGAUCGGAAUUACCAGUGUAGAGGUGAAAUUCGUAGAUAUUGGGAAGAACACCAGUGGCGAAGGCGGCUAACUGGCUCGGUACUGACGCUGAGAUGCGAAAGCGUGGGGAGCAAACAGGAUUAGAUA